CCGCCACUAGCUCAUCUGGACAGAGCAUCAACUUUCUAAGUUGAGUGUACGAGGUUCGACUCCCCGGUGGCGGACCA
This 77-nucleotide transfer RNA is filed under the name Klebsiella oxytoca. RNAcentral's name for it is "tRNA-Arg". It matches the Rfam family "tRNA". From Rfam's summary of the family: Transfer RNA (tRNA) molecules are approximately 80 nucleotides in length. Lineage: Bacteria; Pseudomonadati; Pseudomonadota; Gammaproteobacteria; Enterobacterales; Enterobacteriaceae. The record is from RNAcentral.